CAGGCCUAACACAUGCAAGUCGAACGGCAGCGCGGAGAGCUUGCUCUCUGGCGGCGAGUGGCGAACGGGUGAGUAAUGCAUCGGAACGUGUCCGAUUGUGGGGGACAACCAGCCGAAAGGUUGGCUAAUACCGCAUAAGACCUGAGGGUGAAAGCCGGGGACCGCAAGGCCUGGCGCGAACGGAGCGGCCGAUGUUUGAUUAGCUGGUUGGCGGGGUAAAGGCCCACCAAGGCGACGAUCAAUAGCUGGUCUGAGAGGACGACCAGCCACACUGGAACUGAGACACGGUCCAGACUCCUACGGGAGGCAGCAGUGGGGAAUUUUGGACAAUGGGGGGAACCCUGAUCCAGCCAUGCCGCGUGCGGGAAGAAGGCCUUCGGGUUGUAAACCGCUUUUGUCAGGGAAGAAAAGGGCGAUGUGAAUAAUGUCGUCUGCUGACGGUACCUGAAGAAUAAGCACCGGCUAACUACGUGCCAGCAGCCGCGGUAAUACGUAGGGUGCAAGCGUUAAUCGGAAUUACUGGGCGUAAAGCGUGUGCAGGCGGCGCCGUAAGACAGAUGUGAAAUCCCCGGGCUUAACCUGGGAACUGCAUUUGUGACUGCGGUGCUGGAGUACGUCAGAGGGGGGUGGAAUUCCACGUGUAGCAGUGAAAUGCGUAGAUAUGUGGAAGAACACCGAUGGCGAAGGCAGCCCCCUGGGACGCAACUGACGCUCAUGCACGGAAGCGUGGGGAGCAAACAGGAUUAGAUACCCUGGUAGUCCACGCCCUAAACGAUGUCUACUAGUUGUUGGGAAGUAACAUUUUCAGUAACGCAGCUAACGCGUGAAGUAGACCGCCUGGGGAGUACGGUCGCAAGAUUAAAACUCAAAGGAGUUGACGGGGACCCGCACAAGCGGUGGAUGAUGUGGAUUAAUUCGAUGCAACGCGAAAAACCUUACCUAGCCUUGACAUGUCAGGAAGGCGGCGUAAAUGCUGCCGUGCCCGCAAGGGAACCUGAGCACAGGUGCUGCAUGGCUGUCGUCAGCUCGUGUCGUGAGAUGUUGGGUUAAGUCCCGCAACGAGCGCAACCCUUGUCACUAGUUGCUACGCAAGAGCACUCUAGUGAGACUGCCGGUGACAAACCGGAGGAAGGUGGGGACGACGUCAAAUCAUCAUGCCCCUUAUGUCCUGGGCUACACACGUAAUACAAUGGCAUUCAACAAAGGGAAGCAAAGCCGCGAGGCAGAGCAAAUCCCCAAAAGGUGUCUCAGUUCGGAUUGCAGGCUGCAACUCGCCUGUAUGAAGUCGGUAUUGCUAGUAAUCGUGGAUCAGCAUGCCACGGUGAAUACGUUCCCGG
Molecule: ribosomal RNA, 1337 nt
Filed under: uncultured rumen bacterium
Lineage: Bacteria
Description: bacterial SSU rRNA
Rfam family: Bacterial small subunit ribosomal RNA
Source: RNAcentral